Molecule: ribosomal RNA, 475 nt
Filed under: Bacillus sp. oral taxon B77
Lineage: Bacteria; Bacillati; Bacillota; Bacilli; Caryophanales; Bacillaceae
Description: bacterial SSU rRNA
Rfam family: Bacterial small subunit ribosomal RNA
Source: RNAcentral
GACGAACGCUGGCGGCGUGCCUAAUACAUGCAAGUCGAGCGCAGGAAGUCAUCCGAACCCUUCGGGGGGACGUUGACGGAAUGAGCGGCGGACGGGUGAGUAACACGUAAAGAACCUGCCCUCAGGUCUGGGAUAACCACGAGAAAUCGGGGCUAAUACCGGAUGGGUCAUCGGACCGCAUGGUCCGAGGAUGAAAGGCGCUCCGGCGUCGCCUGGGGAUGGCUUUGCGGUGCAUUAGCUAGUUGGUGGGGUAAUGGCCCACCAAGGCGACGAUGCAUAGCCGACCUGAGAGGGUGAUCGGCCACACUGGGACUGAGACACGGCCCAGACUCCUACGGGAGGCAGCAGUAGGGAAUCUUCCACAAUGGACGAAAGUCUGAUGGAGCAACGCCGCGUGAACGAUGAAGGCCUUCGGGUCGUAAAGUUCUGUUGUAAGGGAAGAACAAGUGCCGCAGGCAAUGGCGGCACCUGACGU